UACGGGGGGAGCAAGCGUUGUUCGGAUUUACUGGGCGUAAAGGGCGCGUAGGCGGUCGUGACAAGUCACUUGUGAAAUCUCCGGGCUUAACUCGGAACGGUCAAGUGAUACUGUCGGACUAGAGUGCAGAAGGGGCAACUGGAAUUCUCGGUGUAGCGGUGAAAUGCGUAGAUAUCGAGAGGAACACCUGCGGCGAAGGCGGGUUGCUGGGCUGAUACUGACGCUGAGGCGCGAAAGCUAGGGGAGCAAACAGG
This 254-nucleotide ribosomal RNA is filed under the name uncultured bacterium. RNAcentral's name for it is "partial 16S ribosomal RNA". It matches the Rfam family "Bacterial small subunit ribosomal RNA", at positions 524 to 776 of the family's 1533-position model. The record is from RNAcentral.